UGGGAAUUGCAGCAUACAUCUUCCGUAAACAGAUCCCAGGAGCAGCCUCCGAUGUCUCUAGUUGCAUGGCUGCCUGCCUACUAUGGCUAAGAGGGUUUCUGGACCCGCUGCUGCAACAGCCCGACCCCUUUCAGAAGCAGGUGCAUUCUACAGUGGACAGAGGAGUCUUACACAUAUUACCUCCUGAAUAGCCUGGACGUUUGUCCUGCUGAAUGUCGAAGUCACCUGCCUGGUAAGCUGUGACUCAUACUCCUGGCCACCUGGCCCUGAAUUUUGAGCUUUUUGGACCAGAUUUUCCUGUCUCUUUGCUUCCUUUUCCUUCCCAGAUCUCCUCCAGUCAUGGCAUGAGUGCCCUGGGGCCGAUGCUGCCUUACUUACUGCACAGGAGGCCAGGAUCAAUUUUUAAUUUUUCCUUGUUCAAGGAAUUUUAGGUGCUGUGAUAGCUAAGUCCCACUCUC
Long non-coding RNA from Mus musculus (house mouse), 458 nucleotides. RefSeq annotates it as predicted gene, 46288. The transcript has 3 exons. The record is from RefSeq and is a predicted model, not a curated record. Lineage: Eukaryota; Metazoa; Chordata; Mammalia; Rodentia; Muridae.